This 969-nucleotide ribosomal RNA is filed under the name Salmonella enterica. Its description in RNAcentral is "partial 23S ribosomal RNA". It matches the Rfam family "Bacterial large subunit ribosomal RNA", at positions 1190 to 2141 of the family's 2925-position model. Lineage: Bacteria; Pseudomonadati; Pseudomonadota; Gammaproteobacteria; Enterobacterales; Enterobacteriaceae. The record is from RNAcentral.
UGCACCGAAGCUGCGGCAGCGACACUGUGUGUUGUUGGGUAGGGGAGCGUUCUGUAAGCCUGUGAAGGUGGCCUGUGAGGGUUGCUGGAGGUAUCAGAAGUGCGAAUGCUGACAUAAGUAACGAUAAAGCGGGUGAAAAGCCCGCUCGCCGGAAGACCAAGGGUUCCUGUCCAACGUUAAUCGGGGCAGGGUGAGUCGACCCCUAAGGCGAGGCCGAAAGGCGUAGUCGAUGGGAAACGGGUUAAUAUUCCCGUACUUGGUGUUACUGCGAAGGGGGGACGGAGAAGGCUAUGUUGGCCGGGCGACGGUUGUCCCGGUUUAAGCGUGUAGGUGUGUGUUCCAGGUAAAUCCGGUUCACUUUAACACUGAGGCGUGACGACGAGGCACUACGGUGCUGAAGCAACAAAUGCCCUGCUUCCAGGAAAAGCCUCUAAGCAUCAGGUAACAUCAAAUCGUACCCCAAACCGACACAGGUGGUCAGGUAGAGAAUACCAAGGCGCUUGAGAGAACUCGGGUGAAGGAACUAGGCAAAAUGGUGCCGUAACUUCGGGAGAAGGCACGCUGACACGUAGGUGAAGUGAUUUACUCAUGGAGCUGAAGUCAGUCGAAGAUACCAGCUGGCUGCAACUGUUUAUUAAAAACACAGCACUGUGCAAACACGAAAGUGGACGUAUACGGUGUGACGCCUGCCCGGUGCCGGAAGGUUAAUUGAUGGGGUCAGCGCAAGCGAAGCUCCUGAUCGAAGCCCCGGUAAACGGCGGCCGUAACUAUAACGGUCCUAAGGUAGCGAAAUUCCUUGUCGGGUAAGUUCCGACCUGCACGAAUGGCGUAAUGAUGGCCAGGCUGUCUCCACCCGAGACUCAGUGAAAUUGAACUCGCUGUGAAGAUGCAGUGUACCCGCGGCAAGACGGAAAGACCCCGUGAACCUUUACUAUAGCUUGACACUGAACAUUGAGCCUUGAUGUGUAG